Long non-coding RNA from Medicago truncatula (barrel medic), 1205 nucleotides. RefSeq lists it as uncharacterized. The record is from RefSeq and is a predicted model, not a curated record. Lineage: Eukaryota; Viridiplantae; Streptophyta; Magnoliopsida; Fabales; Fabaceae. The transcript is spliced from 7 exons.
AUUUUCUUCUGUUCCAUCGUUUCUUCUUCAUUUUCUCUUUCGUUCAUAGCCAUCGUUCAAUUAAAGGGGAGGAAUGGAAGCUAAUCAAGCUUUGCAGGCCCGAUUCUCAAGUUCUGUGUCUACUACACUUGAAGAUGCAGGAAUUGCAAACACGGAUAUUAACUCAUCUAUUGAUCAUUCAUUGCAACUUGAUCAUAAAGCUUGUGGGAUUUUGAAUUCCAUGAUUACCCCAUGCUGUGCUGAGUUGACAGAAUGGAAGGGUGGUCAUUACAACAGAAUUGUGGAGAUAACUGAAAAUGCAGGAAAAUGUCUUCUCAAUGAGUACAUGGGACUAAUUGUGAAGUGUUUAGUGUUGAGAUUCCCAUUAAGGGUGUUGCUCCAAAAUUCAAAAGUUAAACUGGCAUUGUUGGCGACGUGAACAUAAGCGAAAUGCAAGGUGCUAAGAUAAGCAAAAUUUCAGAAGGUAUGCAAUUGAGGAGAUUGAAGCUGCGACGAGUUUUUUUGCUGAGUCACUUAGGAUUGGAGAAGGUGGUUAUGGUCCUGUUUAUAGAUGUCUUCCAGACCAUACUCCCGUUGCAGUUAAAGUUCUUCAUCCUGAUGCACAACAAGGAAGCUCACAGUUUCAACGAGAGGCAAAUAAGAAAAUUGAAGAUGCUAAGUUGGCAAGAGAUUUCCAAACCACAUUGAAGGAAUUUCAGAAAGUUCAACUUGCUUCUGAGCGCGAAUCAACUUAUACUCCUGCUGCCUCUGCUUCUUCUUUACCGACAAGGAAGACACUUUCAAUUCGGAAAGCAGUGCAACUAAAAGAGCGACAUCAGUACCAGAUGAGGUUUUCCAUAGAUCCAAAGGAGUUCAAUUAUGCAAUACUCAGGAUCACCAAUGCACUCCUGCCUUUUUUGCUGAAUUUUUUUUUUUUUUCUCAAACAUGCAAAAAUUAACAGACAUCAAAGAAGAUACCAUGAAGCUUAUUGUUCCACAGAUUGCCAGAAAAACAUCGAAACUGAUGGCUCCCUUUUCGAAAGAACAUGCAUCUCUUUACAUUAUAGAGUUGGAUCCAAAUUAAUGUUUGGGACAUAGUACAUAUAUAAAUAUAGUGACAGUUUGCAAGAAUAGUUUGUCAUGCAUUUGAGAGAUUAUAGCUCUACCGUGUGAUAUAUAAAUAUUUGAUAUAUGAGUGUGAGCAGUUAAAACAUAUGUGAUUUGUC